Molecule: long non-coding RNA, 802 nt
Organism: Cyprinodon tularosa
Lineage: Eukaryota; Metazoa; Chordata; Actinopteri; Cyprinodontiformes; Cyprinodontidae
Exons: 3
Source: RefSeq, a predicted model, not a curated record
CCGCAGUGGACCUUUUCUGUGUUUUUUAAAUCCCAUGUUGGACCGAGCCUCUAGAGGCUUUGGGCCAUCAGAAGAUGCUGAUGAGAUCUACAGCGACCAAAGCCAAGCUGCUGACCUUCACAAAGAGAGAGCAUGUUCAACACUGUGGACGUCCAAAAGCAGAAGUCCUGUGAGGAAGCGGGACAUCCAGGGUGGUGAGGAGCUUCCCAGUCUCUCCAACAUUCUGGAGUCCUGGACUGAAUAAAGACCCUGCAGCUAAACCAUCAAUCUGCUACACCCAGUAGAAGAAGAGAGGCCAGCUGCUCCUUGGACCGGAGCCUCUGUGUCUGUUGGACGUCUGCUGUCCUGUUAAAGACCCACUCGGCCGCAGUAGAUGGGCGCUGACAUGGAGCUGCUGCUGGAGGUUCCUUCCUGCUUAAAGCUAGUUUUCCUCUCUACUGUCACCACUUCAUUACUCAGGAGGAGGGACUGCUGCAAGAUUAAUGAAGGGAUGUAAUUGGCGGAUCUUCUUUGGAUUUAAGACGUUUCUCUAAACGCCAUAAUAAACUAAAUUUAUCUUCACCAUGUUGUAAAUUAGAUCUAACUGGAUGUUUGUGAUGUUUUUAAUUCUGUUACACGUCUCUUUAUUAAAACUGUCAUGUAAAUUGCCUUAAAAUGACAUCUGCUGGGUCUUGGUUCUAUUUUACAAGACUGAAUUAUAUUAAAUCCCCCCUACUGGGUCUGGUUUUGUUGAAGGAUCCUUCCUGUCAUUCUAUCUUUACCUGUUAUUUAUCACUAUAAUAAAGGUUUUAUCCAAGUCAUG